This 1269-nucleotide ribosomal RNA is filed under the name Bacillus sp. (in: firmicutes). RNAcentral's name for it is "bacterial SSU rRNA". It matches the Rfam family "Bacterial small subunit ribosomal RNA", at positions 30 to 1285 of the family's 1533-position model. Lineage: Bacteria; Bacillati; Bacillota; Bacilli; Caryophanales; Bacillaceae. The record is from RNAcentral.
CUAGCCUUAGCAACGGGCUAUAAUGCAAGUCGAGCGAAUGGAUUAAGAGCUUGCUCUUAUGAAGUUAGCGGCGGACGGGUGAGUAACACGUGGGUAACCUGCCCAUAAGACUGGGAUAACUCCGGGAAACCGGGGCUAAUACCGGAUAACAUUUUGAACCGCAUGGUUCGAAAUUGAAAGGCGGCUUCGGCUGUCACUUAUGGAUGGACCCGCGUCGCAUUAUCUAGUUGGUGAGGUAACGGCUCACCAAGGCAACGAUGCGUACCCGACCUGAGAGGGUGAUCGGCCACACUGGGACUGAGACACGGCCCAGACUCCUACGGGAGGCAGCAAUAGGGAAUCUUCCGCAAUGGACGAAAGUCUGACGGAGCAACGCCGCGUGAGUGAUGAAGGCUUUCGGGUCGUAAAACUCUGUUGUUAGGGAAGAACAAGUGCUAGUUGAAUAAGCUGGCACCUUGACGGUACCUAACCAGAAAGCCACGGCUAACUACGUGCCACCAGCCGCGGUAAUACGUAGGUGGCAAGCGUUAUCCGGAAUUAUUGGGCGUAAAGCGCGCGCAGGUGGUUUCUUAAGUCUGAUGUGAAAGCCCACGGCUCAACCGUGGAGGGUCAUUGGAAACUGGGAGACUUGAGUGCAGAAGAGGAAAGUGGAAUUCCAUGUGUAGCGGUGAAAUGCGUAGAGAUAUGGAGGAACACCAGUGGCGAAGGCGACUUUCUGGUCUGUAACUGACACUGAGGCGCGAAAGCGUGGGGAGCAAACAGGAUUAUAUACCCUGGUAGUCCACGCCGUAAACGAUGAGUGCUAAGUGUUAUAGGGUUUCCGCCCUUUAGUGCUGAAGUUAACGCAUUAAGCACUCCGCCUGGGGAGUACGGCCGCAAGGCUGAAACUCAGAGGAAUUGACGGGCGCCCGCACAAGCGGUGGAUCAUGUGGUUUAAUUCGAAGCAACGCGAAGAACCUUACCAGGUCUUGACAUCCUCUGACAACCCUAGAGAUAGGGUCUUCUCCUUCGGGAGCAGAGUGCACAAGUGGCUGCAUUGCCUGCUCGUCAGCUCGUGAUCGUUGAGAUGAAUGGGCUUAAGUCCCGCCAACGAGCGCACCUUUGAUCUUAGCUGCCAUCAUUUAAAUCGGCCACGUCUAACGUUGACUGCAGAUGCACGACGGAGGAGAUGAGAUGACGUCAAUCAUCAUGCCCGUUAUGACCUGGGCUUACCCUGCUACAUGACGUACAUGACUCAGACGCGAGCUGAGCCUAAUCUCCCUAAAAUCG